This 589-nucleotide ribosomal RNA is filed under the name Cabalodontia aff. subcretacea UC2023065. RNAcentral describes it as "eukaryotic LSU rRNA". The stretch from base 200 to 353 matches the Rfam family "5.8S ribosomal RNA". Lineage: Eukaryota; Fungi; Basidiomycota; Agaricomycetes; Polyporales; Steccherinaceae. The record is from RNAcentral.
AUUAUUGAAUUUGAAAGGAGUUGUAGCUGGCCUUCCGAGGCAUGUGCACGCUCUGAUCAAUCCACUUACACCUGUGCACCUUUGAGGUUGUCGUCUCCCUCUUCACGGAGGAGCGGCGGGUAACACCGCCGAGACUUCGCCUUUCUUACACAAACUCUUAAAGUUAAUGAAUGUCUUCUUGCUUAACGCAAUUAAAUACAACUUUCAACAACGGAUCUCUUGGCUCUCGCAUCGAUGAAGAACGCAGCGAAAUGCGAUAAGUAAUGUGAAUUGCAGAAUUCAGUGAAUCAUCGAAUCUUUGAACGCACCUUGCGCUCCUUGGUAUUCCGAGGAGCAUGCCUGUUUGAGUGUCAUGAAAUCAUCAACCUUACAGCUUUGUUGUUGUAAGGCUUGGACUUGGGAGUUGCUGGUGGUCUGACCAUCGGCUCUUCUUGAAUGCAUUAGCUAAACUCCCGCUGGUUGGCUUACGGUGUGAUAAUUAUCUGCAUCUGACUGCUGCUGGCAAUGGAACUGGCUUCUAAUCGUCUUCGGACAAUCACUUUAAGAUCUGACCUCAAAUCAGGUAGGACUACCCGCUGAACUUAAGCAU